Molecule: non-coding RNA, 30 nt
Filed under: Rattus norvegicus (Norway rat)
Lineage: Eukaryota; Metazoa; Chordata; Mammalia; Rodentia; Muridae
Source: RNAcentral
UAACUGAGUCUUGGACUUCAGAGUGGGGUU